RNAcentral lists this ribosomal RNA (858 nucleotides) under uncultured bacterium. RNAcentral's name for it is "SSU rRNA". It matches the Rfam family "Bacterial small subunit ribosomal RNA", at positions 524 to 1381 of the family's 1533-position model. The record is from RNAcentral.
UACGGAAGAAGCGAACGUUAUCCGGAAUUACUGGGCGUAAAGCGCCCGCAGGCGGCUUGUCAAGUGUGAUGUCAAAGCCCCGGCUUAACUCGGGGAACUGCAUUCCAAACUGACAGGCUAGAGUGCGAUAGAGGGAGGUAGAAUUCCCAGUGUAGCGGUGAAAUGCGUAGAUAUCCUGAAGAACACCGGCGGCGAAGGCGCCCCCCUGGAUCGAUACUGACGCUCGAGGAGCAAAAGCGUGGGAAGAAACGGGAUUAAAUCCCCUGUAAGCCCACGCCGAAACCAAGGACUACUAGCCGUUGCUGUGUCUGACCUCAUAGUGCCGAAGCCAACGCGAUAAGUGUACCGCCUGGGGAGUACGCACGCAAGAGUAAAACUCAAAUGAAUUGACGGGGGCCCGCACAAGCGGUGGAGCAUGUGGUUUAAUUCGAUGCAACGCGAAAAACCUUACCAGGCCUUGACAUCCAGAGAACUUACCUGAGAUGGUUUGGUGCCUUCGGGAACUCUGAGACAGGUGUUGCAUGGCUGUCGUCAGCUCGUGUCGUGAGAUGUUGGGUUAAGUCCCGCAACGAGCGCAACCCUUAUCCUUACUUGCCAUCACGUAAUGGUGGGAACUUUAAGGAGACUGCCGGUGACAAACCGGAGGAAGGAGAGGAUGAUGUCAAGUCAUCAUGGCCCUUACGUCCUGGGCUACACACGUGCUACAAUGCGGAGUACAAAGGGCCGCCAUCCCGCGAGGGGGAGCAAAUCUCAAAAAAUUUCUCGUAGUCCGGAUUGGAGUCUGCAACUCGCCUCCAUGAAGUCGGAAUCGCUAGUAAUCGCGAAUCAGCAUGUCGCGGUGAAUACGUUCCCGGGCCU